RNAcentral lists this unclassified non-coding RNA (2751 nucleotides) under Venturia canescens. RNAcentral describes it as "uncharacterized LOC122406532, transcript variant X1". Lineage: Eukaryota; Metazoa; Arthropoda; Insecta; Hymenoptera; Ichneumonidae. The record is from RNAcentral.
UAUUAUUAUUCAACACUAAUUAGUCACGUCAUUAAUAAUAUCGAUUCCCUCCACUUGACAAUAACCAUUAUUAUUUUUUUACACUCCGCACGCAACGGCACUCUGGGAAUUAUAAUCUGAAACGUCAUCAUGAAGUGAAAUCUCGCAAAUGUGCUAUCUUCGUAUAUAUUACGAUAACUGCCCACAUGCUCACAUAAAUUUAAGAUAGCUCAAACUUCUGUUCAAUGAUUGCGCAAUGCAGGGAGACUAGAGGGAAGGAGUGGACACAGCAUAGGAGAAUAAGUAGUAACGACGUCCUCAAAAUCCUGUCUUAAUUACGUUCUCAUUUUUGCCACCAGGCGUAAAAAUCCUACAUAUAGUAAUAGAAUUUAUCCACACCGUGAAAGUGACCGCUCGGCGCGUACGCAAAAAAAUGAAAAUCUCCAGAGAUCUGCAAUUGCUGUGCAAUUAAAGGUUAUAUAAACCGAGAGUUAAUGAAAGAAGUGUUAUUGUGUCGUAUUUACAGAAACAAAAUUGGAUUUGUGAUAACUUUCUUACGAAUCUCGUAGAGAAUUAUUGUCUGGCGUAACUAGAGUUGUGGUUCGACUUAUUUUUACAAGCAAGCAUGCUGAAAAUUUGUAGUGUGCCUGGGUGCGAAAGCGGCAAAUAUCAAGAUCGCAAGAGACGAAUUGAGCUAGGGUUGCAGCCCAUUUCUCUGUUUGCUGUACCAAAGAGUGAUGACCGGCUGAAAGCAUGGGAAAAUGCUCUGAAGCAAAAUUUAAACAAAACCCAGCACAUUUGUCAUUUACAUUUUGCGGAUGAACACAUUCGAAAAAAUUAUAAAAUCAAAUUGCCUGAUGGUAGUGUUAUGGGCAAACCUUUCAAGCGCUGGCUAUUGGUAGACGAUGCUAUACCAACACUGCCAAAUCGAUCCGUCGAACAAAGCGAGAACAAUAACGUUUUCGAGGUAGACACUGUACUUGAGCAGCACGCUCUCCAGGAUUGCAGUAUGAAAAUAGUAGAUGAUGAAAUUAUAGAGCCGGCCGAAAAUGUUACUCUAAAUGGCAAUCGAAUUUUUUCCAUUGAUGAUUUCAAAAGCGAUCUGAGUUCGAAUUUUUUACCCGAGUACUGGACUUGGAGUCAGCAAGGCUCGGACGCAUUAUUUACUUAUUUGGAUCGAUCGGAUAUGUCAAUACGACUGCAUCUGGUUGUGCAUGAAGAUCUCUCGAUACAAAUUCGGAGUAUUACAAACAGAAUAGUCAAUUUGGAGGACAACAUUGGUAGAACAGCUGACAUUCUUCAACACAUGAAUGUAGCUCAUUCAAGCCUAUUUGCAGAGGGACGGACAUCGAAGACGAAAGGUUUUAGUGUGUUCGUUGUCGACGGCUUCGCAAAAAGUUAUUGCAGAGAAUCAAGGCAAAAGAACUGCAAGCAAAGUAUGAAAAGUCAAAAUACGCCGCGCAGUUAGGACGGCGCAAGAAUCUACGUUUGCAGCUAAAGAUCGAGAUGAUGAAGGCGACGAUCAAUCAGUUACAAAUUGAGUGUGCGACAAUCGACAGCCGCGUACUGUAAGAAAAAAUUUCUGGUUUUCCGGAGGCGCAACAAGAAGCAAUUAAAUCGUGUUUUGCAGCUUCCAAUGUAAAAAAUUCCCACGGACGAAGAUAUAUAAUGAACUGGAUUUACGAAUGCUUGUUGAUGAGGAUAAAAAAUGCAGCGCUGUACGAACAUAUUAGGGAUCGAAAAAUUUUACCACUUCCCUGUCGCAAAACAUUAGGCCAAUAUAUUCAGAAGAUGAGCUCUUCGACCUACGGCUUCCAGGAAGCUGUUUUUGAAGGUCUUCGGAGAAAAGGAUCACGAAUGGAAAAAUCUUUUAAAAGAGGCGUCCUCCUUGUCGAUGAGAUGAAGCUGAGCGAGGCAAUUUCUUUCGAUCGAAAGACUUUGAAGUUUGGUGGUUUCGUUAACCUAGGCCAGUAUACUCCGGAAACUGCCAAAGACAGGAGAGCAGAUCAUGCGCUCGUUUUUAUGUUUCAACCGUUUCGAGGUUGAUGGGUACAAGCCGUUGGCUACUUUCUGAGCAAAGACUCAGUAACGAGUAGGGUGUUGCACAAGUUAAUUUUGGAGUGCGUGAUUCUGCUCGGCAACGUGGGUUUUUACGUCGAUGGUGUGGUAACCGAUGGAGCUCAGUGGAACCGGGGAAUGUGGAAUAUUUUCGGCAUCCACGAAAAUAAUCUGAGUUGUCCACAUCCCUGUGAUGAAAAUAAAAGAAUGUGGAUGACUUCAGAUUUUCCACAUUUGAUCAAAUGCUUUCGCACUGGAUGUAUUAAUCAUCCCUCAUUCGAGACGCCUGACGGAACUGUUAAAAAACAACACUUCGAAGCAUUGUUGCAAUGCGAGAACUUUUCAAAGCCCAAUUUAAAAUUGGCAUACAAAUUGACGCCUGCACAUCUAAAUCCCGCAGGAUAUCAGAAGAUGAACGUCCCUUUGGCUUUUGAGGUAGCUAGCGUUUACAAUGUUGUUCACAAUAUAUAUUGUGAACAACAUUGUAAACAUCGCGUAAAACAUCGCGCGCGACGUAAAACAUCGCGCGCGACGCGGCGCGAUGUUUUGACCGAGCGCGUACAACGACCGGGGAGCCGCGUCACUGCUGGCCGGCGGCGGCCGUACUGGAGGGCAAUACAAAGGCCCGAUACAAGCGGCGGAGCGCGACACUAGCGGCGCCGCAUAUUAAAAACUUGAACUAUUAUAUUUUUUUGUUUUGUUAAUUAAAAUUCA